UGGGGAAUAUUGGGCAAUGGGGGAAACCCUGACCCAGCAACGCCGCGUGAGGGAAGAAGGUCUUCGGAUUGUAAACCUUUGUCCUAUGGGACGAAAGAAAUGACGGUACCAUAGGAGGAAGCUCCGGCUAACUACGUGCCAGCAGCCGCGGUAAUACGUAGGGAGCAAGCGUUGUCCGGAAUUACUGGGCGUAAAGGGUGCGUAGGUGGUCAUGUAAGUCAGAUGUGAAAGACCGGGGCUUAACCCCGGGGUUGCAUUUGAAACUGUGUGACUUGAGUACAGGAGAGGGAAGUGGAAUUCCUAGUGUAGCGGUGAAAUGCGUAGAUAUUAGGAGGAACACCAGUGGCGAAGGCGACUUUCUGGACUGUAACUGACACUGAGGCACGAAAGCGUGGGGAGCAAACAGG
RNAcentral lists this ribosomal RNA (407 nucleotides) under uncultured bacterium. RNAcentral describes it as "bacterial SSU rRNA". It matches the Rfam family "Bacterial small subunit ribosomal RNA", at positions 355 to 776 of the family's 1533-position model. The record is from RNAcentral.